AUUUAAUUUUCCCAGCAUUAGGUUGGCCUUUUGUGUACCCAAGACAGGGCGUAGGAAGUCAACUUAAGAGCGCUGUGAUUGGAUGUAAGGGUACAAUAUAUUUUUUGUUUAUCUAUGAAUAACUGCAGUGUGUAUAUUUACAAUAUAAAUUUUGAAACCUAUUGAAAUAUUUUCUAGAGAAUUAUUCGAAAAGACUUGCAAAAUUUCAUAAAUUUGGUGCAAAAUGACGGUGGGCAUGGAUAACAUAAACAAGCUUCGUUGGAAGUUGGUCAUGAUACUAUUUGGCUUUAAUUUUUAAAACACAAUAAUAAAGUACUACCACA
This 323-nucleotide long non-coding RNA is filed under the name Mytilus galloprovincialis (Mediterranean mussel). Lineage: Eukaryota; Metazoa; Mollusca; Bivalvia; Mytilida; Mytilidae. The record is from RNAcentral.